Molecule: ribosomal RNA, 483 nt
Filed under: uncultured bacterium
Lineage: Bacteria
Description: partial 16S ribosomal RNA
Rfam family: Bacterial small subunit ribosomal RNA
Source: RNAcentral
AUUGAACGCUGGCGGCAUGCUUUACACAUGCAAGUCGAACGGCAGCGCGGGCUUCGGCCUGGCGGCGAGUGGCGAACGGGUGAGUAAUGCAUCGGAACGUGCCCAGUAGUGGGGGAUAGCCCGGCGAAAGCCGGAUUAAUACCGCAUACGACCUGCGGGUGAAAGCGGGGGACCGAAAGGCCUCGCGCUAUUGGAGCGGCCGAUGUCGGAUUAGCCAGUUGGUGGGGUAAAGGCUUACCAAGGCGACGAUCCGUAGCUGGUCUGAGAGGACGACCAGCCACACUGGGACUGAGACACGGCCCAGACUCCGACGGGAGGCAGCAGUGGGGAAUUUUGGACAAUGGGGGCAACCCUGAUCCAGCCAUGCCGCGUGCGGGAAGAAGGCCUUCGGGUUGUAAACCGCUUUUGUUCGGGAAGAAAUCCUCUGGGCUAAUACCCCGGGGGGAUGACGGUACCGGAAGAAUAAGCACCGGCUAACUACGU